Molecule: long non-coding RNA, 8602 nt
Organism: Ostrinia nubilalis (European corn borer)
Lineage: Eukaryota; Metazoa; Arthropoda; Insecta; Lepidoptera; Crambidae
Exons: 2
Source: RefSeq, a predicted model, not a curated record
CGCCGUACCGGCGCGCACUGACUCUACUGCUCAUCGCCGCCGCCGCUUACUGCAUGGCCGCCUUGUGGAAGCGCUGCGGCCGCAAGCUGCGCCGGCGCCGUCUGCUCGCGCUGGCCACCUAGCAUAAGGCUAAGCCGCACCGAACAAAGGAGCGGCAGAAGUUUGGAGGCAAAACUCGUCACAGCCCUCAGCGCGGGCCUGACCUGACAAUGGAGUCGAUCGACGAGUUCCUCGACUCGAUCCAGGCCCUCGCUGACGUCAACCUCAUGCGGCUUGCCGCUUACGUCGAGGAAAAUCGCAAUUUGUUACACUAGGCUGUACAAGGCAGUACCUACACCAGUGCGCGAGGUAAGGAAGCCGAAACUAGCGGAUUCUUGAUGACCUGACCUGACCGAUACAAACCGGUCUCACAUACAAUGUAGUCUCCGUUUAAUCCGCAGAAAAGACUCAAUAUUUCGUGUGUGUUAUGUGUAUGUCAAUGAUAAAAAUGUGCAAUUUAAGUAGUAGUGUCGUAAUUAGAUCUAGACAUAUCUUUAUGAACACUUGUACGUGCAAAUAAGCCAUCAAUCAGUAGGUUUGUUAGAGGAAUAUUGUACCUUUUAGUGAUUUCUCCUAUCGCGCGUCUUGUCAAAAUUUUAUACAAAAUCUAUUGUCUAUGACAUGAAUUUAAACAAAAAUGUAUCGGCCUAAAGGCUUUUGGACCACUUUCUAAAAUUGAUUUAGUAGACGUAGAUGUAAAAUGGUACAUUAUAAUGGAACUUAAAAUUAAUAAGUGACAAAAUAGGUAAAAAAGUACAUUUUAGAAUAUUUAUAGAUGUGAAAUACAUUCCACUUGUUUUUAAAACAUACUGGCAAUCGCACAAUAUUAUUGCCGCCUUUUCAUCGGCAGCUGCAAUUCGGUUUGGUCUGAAAUGGCCUAAAACAUUUUAUGAAUAUGAUUUGCCUAUAGAUAGUGUUUAUUGAAAACUGCGAUUACGUUCCAAAUACAGCGGCUGUAUUAAAACAAACGAUAAAUUUACGCUUAUUCAAUAAUUUACUUGAUCCGCGCCAGUUGUUUUAAACAAAUUAAAUUGUUGGUGUAUAGCAUAGUGAUAAUUAAGAUAACAAUGUAACCAUCAAUAGACUUUUGAUAUUUAUGUAGGAAGAGAGCCACUGACAGAUAGAUUUAAGCGGAAGAGAAAGAAACAUAAAAGGAAAAUUUUAUCUAUUCCAUUAGAUUUUAAACUACGGGUUUCAUGCAAUAGCAGCUAUAGCUUUGUAAAUUCGCUUUCAAAUAGGUUUUUGACAUCUUUGUUGUGACCGUUUAGAGUUGAUAUUAUCGUAGUGAUGAUAGCAUAAGGUAAUUAGGUCAUGUUUAGAUAAUGCGUUGAGAUGCGUUUUCGCGCGAUCAACGCCUUUCAUCUAUACAUCUUUAUAUAGAUCGCGCUAUGAGUUGUUACGAAAAAAAAAACAAAUCAUAUGAAUUAUUUUUACGGUAAGUUUACGGAAAUUUUGAUAUUUGUGCCAAUCUACUUAAUACUUACUAUUAAUUAAGUUUAUAUUACAUUUGCACCUAGUUUUAGAGCAUUUGUUACUUUUAAAUAUGCUAGAUUUCGAAAAGCUUAUAUUUGACCCCCUUGUAGCGCGAUUUAUAUAAAAUUUUGUGAUUGUUCAUAUCAUGUCGGCAACGUCUUUAUAAGCAUGUAAUAGAAGAAAAAAUAUUUGGAAUGUAACAUCAAUUCCAUUUAUUAAUAACUUGUUGUCCACAUACUUAAAUUUAUAUUCCAAGAAGCUCACCAACAAUAAGUAUAAUAAUAAUUAAUCGAAAUUAUUAUCUUUGGGUUAUAAACAGACAAGUUAAAAACACAAAAGUAAAGUAAAUACAUAACUGCUUCCACUGGGCAAGUCAGCAGCGUUUUACCUCUACCAUUCAUAAUUGCAUAAUUUUGUUCAGGUUUUAAUCAAAUCAAAAACGAGAGAAAUGAUUGAUCUUAAUUUUAGUCCUCUGUACGUGCCAACACGACAAGCUUGAUCCAAACCUUUUCGGCCACGCAAUAUCAACUAGUAAUUUAAUCUUUUUUUACUGACUGAGUUUCUAUUAUACCAUUGUUCUCCAAUUACACUUACGCUGCGGGGUGAUGUGAACAUUCACUAAUAUCGCUAGUUUGGUAGGGAUUUAGUAUCAAGUAAGGAAGAUAUACAAGUAAGGCUCGCUGUACACCGCACCUUGACAAUUUGCCGUGUGGGUUGUAUUACAACAACUGAGGUCAAAAUUCUGGACUCAUCCGCCAAAGGUUCAUUGAUGAUUUUGUUUUAUUUUUAGUUCCUUUUUAUUUUUUAUUAGAAUUUCGUCAUCAUGUACUAAUGAUUUUAUUAUAAUGUGGAGAAUUUAUAGACUAUGGAAGUGUUUUUUUAUUUAUUUUAUUAGUAUCGCUGGCCUCUCGGUGAUCAGCGAGCCUUACAGCGACACAUCACGAUGUGUCACAACCAGUUAGCCACAGCCUAAAUUGCGACGUAGAUGUAAUAAUUCAAAUGCAAUAAUAAUUAUUAAUUAAUAAUCCAUAAGAUAAUCGCCUAGCUCAUUAAUACUAGUUCGUAAAGCGUGUAAAUUAUUAUUAUUGUAGUUAGCAGCUUCUCAAUGCUUUUAGUAGUUUAUGUGGGGAGGUUGUGACGAAAAUUGUUUUUUUUUUUUUAGUUUUUAUCAAAAACAUUAAUGCAUUAAAAAAGUUUUGCCUAAUCUGUCAAAAUGGUAUUUAGCAGCCCUAUUCCUGGUAAUUCUCACAUUUUUUUAUUUUUAGAAAGAAAAUGGGCACACGUUCCUAAUUUUUUUGAUUUAAAAUUCAAAUUCAAGUUAUGCACCGAUAUUGCAUUAUUAAAGCACCCGUAAAAAUAUGUCGAUUAUUUAGAUUUUCACUUGUAACCCCUCACAUGUAAGCUUCGCUAUACUUAAAUAUGUCUAUUUAUAAGUAAGUAAUUAUAAGAUUGUAAUGGGUAUCUAUGCUCAUUACGCAGCAGAGCGUCACAAGCCAUUUUUAUCGAAGUUUCUUCAUAAAAUUAUAAUUUAUUCAAUGUUUAUUAAUUAUCAUUCGAUGUGAAGUCUGAAUUGGGUUAUAAUAAAGACAAAUUCUAUCAAAAAUUCCAAAAAAUCUUGUAAUAUCAUUUAUUUGGUAUGCCUUUCGAGUAAACUUUGACACAAAUUCCUUAAAAUUUUAGUUAUGUGAUAAAUAGAUAUUUUUUUGGCCUUUUCUGAAAGUUGUAUUUGUUCCUUGUUGAAGCUGAUUAGAACCGGUCACUCUUUGAAUCGUGAUGUCAUGAAAAGGUAAUAAUAAUCAGCCUUAACUGCUUUUCUUAUGUUAUGGCUUGUACAUACGCCUGCACGGAAAAGCAUGGCACAGAGCCACAUCGCAGCAGUGCUUUAUGAUAAGAAACAUAAUAUUCAAUAUCUUAAGAACACAUCACAACCACAACAUCAGUAGGUAUCGUAACUAACCUAAUGUGAACAUCAUGUAAUUUAGAGACUUGUUUCCCUACAAAAUCUAUGGGAGAGUUUAGUUUUGACAGCUUCAAAAGGACAUCAAUGAUUGGCUGUGUCGAAUGCCCUAUUUCUUCAAAACACUUUACAACGAACGUAAUUUGAACAUCAGUCUCUGUAACCAGUAACAGGAGACUAAGGGAGAAAAUAUGCAAAUAUCAGGCCUCUCCAAUAAAUUGAACGCUAAAUGUUUCUUUGACAUAAGUCACUCGCAGCGGGUGUGGCCCUGAGGGUCGGCUGACGGUCGGCUACGAGGUACCAUGAUUCCAGAAGUAGUUUGCGAGAUCGCACACGGCAUGCUAAUUUAUAUCUUUCUAGGUUAGAUGAAUGCGCAUGAAAAUUACUGGCAUUAUGACUUAGUAUCUGUAAAUAACACAUCAUAAUACUAAGAGUUUCGUACCCAUUUAUUUAACCUUCCAAAGGUAUAGAGGACGCCCUGUUACAGGUCACCUAGUGCCUUUACUUAAUAUAAUAUCACGUAGUGCCGAAUUAUUAUUUUUUGAUUGGACUUGGAUAUUUUUUAAAUUGAUAAAGUCAAAAAUUCACAUCAAAGCUAUCAAAAUUAAAUAUUGUGAUGACCUUCUUUCUACCUUUUGCGUUUUGUGGAUUUUAAAAUUCGAAAUCUGUUUAAAUGUAAUCAGAUUAUAAAAUUAAAAACCUUAAAGUUAAUGAUGUUGGUGAUUUUCAAUAUUCAGUUAUUAUUCCAGUUCAAUCAUAACUUCUAGUAACUUGUUUUUUGUAGUCGGACAAGCAUGGCGCCGAUGCCACCCCCGCGGUGGACUUAUCUUAUGUAAAACAAAACAUUUUUAAAGUUUCGAGUAAAGGUUUUGGUUUGGGCAUGUUCAUUUAACUUACAAUAUUGUAUUGUAUUCGUUUUAAGCGCCACUGUACAUUAGGUCGCCACCACAAGUUGUAGUCCGCCACGUCUCGACCACUUGGACGCGCAGAGUUCAGCAAUACAUUAUUACGUGAACAACUUGAUCCAGUGAGCUUACAUUGAGUUCACAAUAAACGCACUCGCUAGUAAUAAUAUGUGACAGAUUGCACAGCGCCCCUAGCGGUUGCUUUCAAGAACUAAAAUAUGCCACAGAUUUAUUGCAUUCGCUAACGUAAACGUAAUUUAAUGUAAGCUCAUGGUAUUUAAUGUAAGCUCAUGGUAAAGCUAACUACUGCUUGUGGUGGCCACCUUGACAAAUGUCGGUGGCAUUAUAGUGAUGAAAGUUAUAAGUUAUCCAGCGGCGGGUGACACCUUGAGGGUCGGUGGCAACCGAUCACGAGGUUCCAUGCAUGCGGAGAACCGCGCGGCAUGCUACUUUAUAGAGUUUUUAAGGUUAGAUGAAUGCACAUGAAAUUACUGGUAAUGAGCCGUACGCAUAUUUUAUGCGCACUUGAUAUUAAAAAGUAUUCAUAUAAAACGAUGCCAAGUGUUUUUCGAAGUGAUUCGUUUAACUGUUAAAACUUAUAGAGGACGCCCUCUUAAGAGGUCACCGAGUGCCUGAAGAAUCGAAGAAAUCAGAAAUGCAGCAUUGUUUUGCUUCUUCCAUAAAUUGUAUUUGCUAUCUAGUUUGUUUGAUAACGUGUAAAUCAAAAUUGACAAGUUUUGGAAAGUCAUUUUAAGUUCCUGCUUUGAUUUUACGUAUUUAUUUACUUAAUAAUCCAAAAUGUGUAACCUAUAAAGGCCAUUGUACCUUAUUUUCGGAAUUAUCUAAAAAAUUAAAUUAGUAUUGGUUGCAUCGUAAUCAAUAUUUUUAAAUUUUUUCAUAUUCAUUUAUGAGGUAUCAUCACGUUAUCGUUUUCGUUGUUCUCGCUGCAUUUAAAUGUAAAUAAAAAUUACAGGAUAAUCACAAGCCACACUCACUACUAAGUUGGACGUACCUAGGUUCUUAACAGUGAUUUUCAUUAGAAAGUACCUUGUAAUUCGUCAAAACCGGUUUGUCCUAUUAAAAAAUAAAAAUAAAGUAUCCCCCUUAAGUUUUUCAUGUCAUGCUAGACAAGUACUCCUUUGGAUCAUCACGCGAGUGAGGGCUGCAUCAUAUGGCACAAUACUUUGGGCCUAGACAUUUCUCGUGGAUGAUUUAUAUACCACACCAUGCCACACGACGCGUGUCCAUUUCAAAAUACUUCUCAAAAACUUAGCCCACGGUGUGGCCUGCGAUUGUCGAUUAGGAUAAUUCCUUGUGCAUGCAUGUCUUACGCUUCAUUCUAGAAUAAUAUUUCAUCCACAGAAAUAAUUUACAUAUUUUUAAUUAGAUUUUGUGUGUCACGGUAGAAUGAUGCCGGGUGAGGGAUCUAUCUGUCCAUUAAGGUGGCCUCUUCAUAGUUUAUAGCUUAGUUUUAAGAACGUCGUACGUAAAUUAAUCAAGUAAUCUUUAUGUCUAUACGCAUUUGUAGCGUUUCAUGUUAUCGUAAUAUAGUACUCGUGAGUGUAUUUUGUUAUUUACUACAUACACCCCCAAAUUUCAUAACUUAUUUACAAUUAUAAAUUGUUUACGUACAUUUUGAGCCAUGAUCAAGACUGGCACGGCCCAUAUUUUUGUAUGAAUGGGCCAAGUAAUUACAAUGUGAAACAGUAAAGUAAUUAGUUCAAAUUAAGUUUUUAAAGAUAACGGCUUUAAGGGUAAAUUGGAUAAAAAUGCGGAUUUUAAGAUGGUGCUCAUAUGAUGGACUUCACGAAAUUAGGGAUUAUAAAUCUCGCAAAAUUAGUUGAGGGUAGUUGGGAAAGUAUUUAUGUAUGUAUUUAAUAUACUCUCGACUUGAUUUUUAAAUAUUUUGAUUCGACCCUUUAAAAGUAUGUACUAAAUUAGGGGAAAAAAUUACAUACGUAGAUACCGAAUUAUUUUGACGUCCAAUCUAUAAGGUACUAACUAUGCAAAUUUUUAGGUACUACACGUGAAAAUAUGUAGUUUGAAUAUUUUUUCGUUUUUCCAACAUAUUUAAUUGGCGCUUCGCUCCUAUUGGUCGUAGCGUGAUGUUAAAUAUCAUAUUAUUAACCUUCCUCGAUAAUAGAUUUAUCCAAUACAAAAAUAAUUCUUCGAUUUGGACCAGUAGUUCCCGAAAUGCAUGUAAUCUACUUAAAAACUUUAGUAUAGAUUUACCUAUUAAUAUGAGUAAUGAAGGACUGAACGGUUUUGGGAAGGGCUUAAAUGUAACACCAUUAGGUAUUAUUGUUUAUUUAAUUUCGUAUAUAAAUAAAUACGUAUUCUGGGAUUAAGCUCAAACUGUAGCACUUUGUUAACUUUGCAUUAACUAAUUUUACAACUCCCAAUUUUGUAGAUCAACUGUCGAUGUCGAUCAGAUUUUUGUAAUUUAAAUGACUCGAUGAAAUGAAUCUGAAAACUGAACCAAAAAAGUACGCAAUGCGUAUAAUGUAAUAUGACGAUGAUAGUAGGUGAGCACCUACAAAUUAAAGUUUUGUAUGUGAACGUUCUUUGUAUGGUAGUAUGUAGUAAUUUAUUCCCUAAAUUAUAUGCAUAAUAUGAUAAUCACUAUAAUCGUAGAUUUGUAAGAUGUACUUUUAAUUGAAUAAUUUUAUCCUCCGCUGCGGCAUUAAACGGUAAUAAUUAUAAAAAUUAUAUAAGUACCUAGUAUUAUUUGAAUCAAUCCGUAGCGUCAAGCGUGAACUUUCAUCCACCCCUAACGUAAACAAACACUGGAUGUUUCCAUUUCCCGAUAACUUUCCAAUAACACACUAAGGUCGUGUUAGAAUGUUUGCGCACUACUGAAACUAUCAUGAUAUUAUUAUUAUAUUUAUAGCGAGUGUACAGAAUAAUUUUGUAAAAACAAAAAUACUGUCACUGCAUAUUGUUAAAAUUAAAUUAUUAUUAAAAUUACUUCGUACAUACUUGUGACACUUUCUUAUAAAAUGUUUCCUACCAAAAGUUAUUGUACAGCAAGACGAUAAAUCGUGAAACCAAAACUAACCCCAUUGGAUUUGGCAUAGACUAGCCUGAUUGACGCUUGACACUACUGAUAAAAAUAUUUACAUAAUAAUUGUGUUAUUUAUUAAUUGGACAGAGUUCAGCACUCUGUAUAACUGUAUCUACGUGUAGGUAUCACAUCUUAUUUAUAAUAACAAUUAGUAGGAAAUAAGAUAAUUUAAAAUAAGUAUGCAUUAAGAGCCAAUAUGUUUUCCGUUGCGUAUUAAUUUGGUUCUGCGAUAUAGUUAUUUCAUGUUGGAAACAAACACUUAAAAAAAAAAUGAUUAUUAAAUAAUGCGAAGCCUAGCUAUUAAUUAUGCUUCUUAUUUAUUCUUUGGUAUGCUUUAUUUUCCUUUUCCGAAAAUCUUUUUAUGGCGAUAUUUAAGUGAUGGCUAAAGUUUGCACGAUUAUUGAAAAAUACUUAUGUAUUUACAGUGCCAUUUCUUGGAAAGGACAGAGUCCAUAGAGUCGAGGCACUUUAUGUUACUUUAAACAAAGUAAGGCUCAAAUAUAGGUUAAGAUAUAAUGGUAAAUCCAGUUCAUGCUAUGAUUUUUACUUUAUAAUUUAUUAUUUUUUGUAUGAGCGUCACUCGUUUCUAAAUUUAAACUCGUACAUACACAAACACACAAGUGCAUUGCUCCAUGUUUUCGGAAUAAGUUAACUAAGCACAAGAUAAAGUUACGACACACAUGGCAAGCAGUGACGGUAACAUAUUUCAUUAUAACUCAACAAAUUGUGAAACACAUUACAUUUUUAAUUACGUAUUAUGAUUUAUUGUACAAUAAAAACUUCUGACCCCUUUUCAAACUAAAAUCAGUCUUUUAUGGGUCAUAAUUUUUUAUUUUGCGAUUACCGCAAAGUUAGGUUCUCUUCCUUAUUUAUAUUUGGUUAAGAAAGUUAUUGAGUUAAGUUGUUAAUUAACUGUAACCAGUAGCAUACGAUACCUAAAGAUUGUUUACUCGUAAUGCCAAAGAAAAAGUUAAUGGUAUGAUUGAAAUAUUGAUGUGAGAAUUUAUGUUAACGUGUAAAUUAGUUUCGUUAUUGUAUUCGAUCACCAGACUGUAUCUUGAACUCGUGAUUCUUGACUGUUAUUGUGUUAAUACCUAGCAACUUACAUUUUUAUGAUUUUGUAUUAAAAGAUUUUGAUAAAAUAAAUCAUGUACGGAUCGUAAA